Molecule: ribosomal RNA, 93 nt
Filed under: Yersinia enterocolitica
Lineage: Bacteria; Pseudomonadati; Pseudomonadota; Gammaproteobacteria; Enterobacterales; Yersiniaceae
Also listed under: 1 other name
Source: RNAcentral
CCCACCUGAUCCCAUGCCGAACUCAGAAGUGAAACGCCGUAGCGCCGAUGGUAGUGUGGGGUCUCCCCAUGCGAGAGUAGGACACUGCCAGGC